RNAcentral lists this ribosomal RNA (662 nucleotides) under uncultured beta proteobacterium. RNAcentral's name for it is "bacterial SSU rRNA". It matches the Rfam family "Bacterial small subunit ribosomal RNA", at positions 30 to 688 of the family's 1533-position model. Lineage: Bacteria; Pseudomonadati; Pseudomonadota; Betaproteobacteria. The record is from RNAcentral.
UGAACGCUGGCGGCUUGCUUACACAUGCAAGUCGAACGGCAGCACGGAGCUUGCUCUGGUGGCGAGUGGCGAACGGGUGAGUAAUAUAUCGGAACGUACCCAAGAGUGGGGGAUAACGUAGCGAAAAUUACGCUAAUACCGCAUACGAUCUACGGAUGAAAGCGGGGGAUCGCAAGACCUCGCGCGAUUGGAGCGGCCGAUAUCAGAUUAGGUAGUUGGUGAGGUAAAGGCUCACCAAGCCAACGAUCUGUAGCUGGUCUGAGAGGACGACCAGCCACACUGGAACUGAGACACGGUCCAGACUCCUACGGGAGGCAGCAGUGGGGAAUUUUGGACAAUGGACGCAAGUCUGAUCCAGCCAUUCCGCGUGCAGGACGAAGGCCUUCGGGUUGUAAACUGCUUUUGUACAGAACGAAAAGGUUUCUAUUAAUACUAGGAGCUCAUGACGGUACUGUAAGAAUAAGCACCGGCUAACUACGUGCCAGCAGCCGCGGUAAUACGUAGGUUGCAAGCGUUAAUCGGAAUUACUGGGCGUAAAGCGUGCGCAGGCGGUUAUGUAAGACAGAGGUGAAAUCCCCGGGCUCAACCUGGGAACUGCCUUUGUGACUGCAUAGCUGGAGUACGGCAGAGGGGGAUGGAAUUCCGCGUGUAGCAGUGAAAUG